RNAcentral lists this transfer RNA (89 nucleotides) under uncultured Phycisphaerae bacterium. RNAcentral describes it as "tRNA-Ser-GGA". It matches the Rfam family "tRNA". From Rfam's summary of the family: Transfer RNA (tRNA) molecules are approximately 80 nucleotides in length. Their secondary structure includes four short double-helical elements and three loops (D, anti-codon, and T loops). Lineage: Bacteria; Pseudomonadati; Planctomycetota; Phycisphaerae. The record is from RNAcentral.
GGAGAGGUGUCCGAGUGGCCGAAGGAGCAGCACUGGAAAUGCUGUAACGGGUUUAAAUCCGUUCGAGGGUUCGAAUCCCUCCCUCUCCG